Molecule: ribosomal RNA, 429 nt
Filed under: Bacteroidota bacterium
Lineage: Bacteria; Pseudomonadati; Bacteroidota
Description: Bacteroidetes bacterium partial 16S ribosomal RNA
Rfam family: Bacterial small subunit ribosomal RNA
Source: RNAcentral
UAGGGAAUCUUCGGCAAUGGGGGGAACCCUGACCGAGCAACGCCGCGUGAGUGAAGAAGGUUUUCGGAUCGUAAAGCUCUGUUGUUAAGGAAGAACGAGUGUGAGAAUGGAAAGUUCAUGCUGUGACGGUACUUAACCAGAAAGGGACGGCUAACUACGUGCCAGCAGCCGCGGUAAUACGUAGGUCCCGAGCGUUGUCCGGAUUUAUUGGGCGUAAAGCGAGCGCAGGCGGUUAGAAAAGUCUGAAGUGAAAGGCAGUGGCUCAACCAUUGUAGGCUUUGGAAACUGUUUAACUUGAGUGCAGAAGGGGAGAGUGGAAUUCCAUGUGUAGCGGUAAAAUGCGUAGAUAUAUGGGGGAACACCGGUGGCGAAAGCGGCUCUCUGGUCUGUAACUGACGCAGAGGCUCGAAAGCGUGGGGAGCGAACAGG